RNAcentral lists this ribosomal RNA (496 nucleotides) under uncultured bacterium. RNAcentral describes it as "partial 16S ribosomal RNA". It matches the Rfam family "Bacterial small subunit ribosomal RNA", at positions 28 to 506 of the family's 1533-position model. The record is from RNAcentral.
GAUGAACGCUGGCGGCGUGCCUAAUACAUGCAAGUCGAGCGAACAGACGAGGAGCUUGCUCCUCUGACGUUAGCGGCGGACGGGUGAGUAACACGUGGAUAACCUACCUAUAAGACUGGGAUAACUUCGGCAAACCGGAGCUAAUACCGGAUAAUAUAUUGAACCGCAUGGUUCAAUAGUGAAAGACGGUUUUGCUGUCACUUAUAGAUGGAUCCGCGCCGCAUUAGCUAGUUGGUAAGGUAACGGCUUACCAAGGCGACGAUGCGUAGCCGACCUGAGAGGGUGAUCGGCCACACUGGAACUGAGACACGGUCCAGACUCCUACGGGAGGCAGCAGUAGGGAAUCUUCCGCAAUGGGCGAAAGCCUGACGGAGCAACGCCGCGUGAGUGAUGAAGGUCUUCGGAUCGUAAAACGCUGUUAUUAGGGAAGAACAAAUGUGUAAGUAACUAUGCACGUCUUGACGGUACCUAAUCAGAAAGCCACGGCUAACUACGU